AUCGAACGCUGGCGGCAGGCCUAACACAUGCAAGUCGAGCGAGAGGCGGACGGGGGAGUGAUGUCUGGGAGACUGCCUGCUGGAGGGGGAUAACUACAGGAAACGGUAGAUAAUACCGCAUACCCUCAGAUGUGCCCAGAUUGGAUUAGCUAGUAUGUGUGGUAAUGGCGCACCUAGGCGACGAUCCCUAGAUGGUAUGAGAGGAUGACCAGCCACACGGGAACUUAGACACGGUCCAGACUCCUACGGGAGGCAGCAGUGGGGAAUAUUGCACAAUGGGCGCAAGCCGGAUGCAGCCAUGCCGCGUGUAUGAAGAAGGCCUUCGGGUUGUAAAGUACUUUCAGCGGGGAGGCGUUACCCGCAGAAGAAGCACCGGCUAACUCCGUGCCAGCAGCCGCGGUAAUUC
RNAcentral lists this ribosomal RNA (406 nucleotides) under uncultured bacterium. Its description in RNAcentral is "partial 16S ribosomal RNA". It matches the Rfam family "Bacterial small subunit ribosomal RNA", at positions 30 to 526 of the family's 1533-position model. The record is from RNAcentral.